AAGCAAGUCAGCGGUUCCCCUUA
This 23-nucleotide microRNA is filed under the name Monodelphis domestica (gray short-tailed opossum). RNAcentral describes it as "mdo-miR-7285-3p". Lineage: Eukaryota; Metazoa; Chordata; Mammalia; Didelphimorphia; Didelphidae. The record is from miRBase by way of RNAcentral.